RNAcentral lists this ribosomal RNA (442 nucleotides) under uncultured bacterium. RNAcentral's name for it is "partial 16S ribosomal RNA". It matches the Rfam family "Bacterial small subunit ribosomal RNA", at positions 338 to 795 of the family's 1533-position model. The record is from RNAcentral.
CCUACGGGUGGCAGCAGUGGGGAAUAUUGGGCAAUGGGCGAAAGCCUGACCCAGCAACGCCGCGUGAAGGAAGAAGGCUUUCGGGUUGUAAACUUCUUUUGACAGGGAAGAGCAGAAGACGGUACCUGUCGAAUAAGCCACGGCUAACCACGUGCCAGCAGCCGCGGUAAUACGUAGGUGGCAAGCGUUGUCCGGAUUUACUGGGUGGAAAGGGCGUGUAGCCGGGCUGACAAGUCAGUUGUGAAAUCCGGGGGCUCAACCCCCGAACUGCAUUUGAAACUGUUGGUCUUGAGUCUCGGAGAGGCAGGCGGAAUUCCUGGUGUAGCGGUGAAAUGCGUAGAUAUUAGGAGGAACACCAGUGGCGAAGGCGGCCUGCUGGACGACAACUGACGGUGAGGCGCGAAAGCGUGGGGAGCAAACAGGAUUAGAUACCCCGGUAGUC